ACCUGCGGAGGGAUCAUUACAGAGUUGCAAAACUCCCUAAACCAUUGUGAACGUUACCUAAACCGUUGCUUCGGCGGGCGGCCCGGGUCCUUCCCGGCGCCCCUCGGCCCUCGCGGGCGCCCGCCGGAGGUAAACCAAACUAUUGCAUUGUAUGGCCUCUCUGAGUCUUCUGUACUGAAUAAGUCAAAACUUUCAACAACGGAUCUCUUGGUUCUGGCAUCGAUGAAGAACGCAGCGAAAUGCGAUAAGUAAUGUGAAUUGCAGAAUUCAGUGAAUCAUCGAAUCUUUGAACGCACAUUGCGCCCGCCAGUAUUCUGGCGGGCAUGCCUGUUCGAGCGUCAUUUCAACCAUCAAGCCCCGGGCUUGUGUUGGGGACCUGCGGCUGCCGCAGGCCCUGAAAUGCAGUGGCGGGCUCGCUGUCACUCCGAGCGUAGUAGUUACAUCUCGCUCUGGGCGUGCUGCGGGUUCCGGCCGUUAAAAGCCUUAUUACCCAAGGUGA
Molecule: unclassified non-coding RNA, 499 nt
Filed under: Chaetomium sp. Amy-26
Lineage: Eukaryota; Fungi; Ascomycota; Sordariomycetes; Sordariales; Chaetomiaceae
Description: partial contains ITS1, 5.8S rRNA, ITS2
Rfam family: 5.8S ribosomal RNA (bases 188-341)
Source: RNAcentral